UACGAAGGGGGCUAGCGUUGUUCGGAAUCACUGGGCGUAAAGCGCACGUAGGCGGAUCUUUAAGUCAGAGGUGAAAUCCCAAGGCUCAACCUUGGAACUGCCUUUGAUACUGGGGAUCUUGAGUCCGGGAGAGGUGAGUGGAACUGCGAGUGUAGAGGUGAAAUUCGUAGAUAUUCGCAAGAACACCAGUGGCGAAGGCGGCUCACUGGCCCGGUACUGACGCUGAGGUGCGAAAGCGUGGGGAGCAACAGG
This 252-nucleotide ribosomal RNA is filed under the name uncultured bacterium. RNAcentral's name for it is "partial 16S ribosomal RNA". It matches the Rfam family "Bacterial small subunit ribosomal RNA", at positions 524 to 775 of the family's 1533-position model. The record is from RNAcentral.